Kogia breviceps (pygmy sperm whale) is the source of this 771-nucleotide non-coding RNA. The record is from RefSeq and is a predicted model, not a curated record. NCBI's taxonomy places the organism in Eukaryota, Metazoa, Chordata, Mammalia, Artiodactyla, Physeteridae.
GAUGACGGGAAUACCAGCUCAGCUACUUCCGCCUGGGAUCCCUUGCCACGACAGGGAUGGAAAAAGCCCCGAUGACAGCUACGGGUUAGGUUACCCCGCCCAGACCCCUUUGUGAAGAGGUGGUGCUAGGGAAAAGCAGCAGCAAAUUAGACACCGGAGAGAGUCUGCAGCUCACUCGGCUAAGAAGUAGCUCCCCUACCUCUUUGGAAAAAAAUAAGCUGAUUUUCGUUGUACAUGAGCUCGAUGGAAUCUUCCUGCAUGACGUCUCCUUGUCUGCAAAGCUGGUAGGCAGCCGGCGAGACGGCGGGUUCACUCCCCUCCAUACGCCCUGAGGACGACUGCGAGGGAAGCGAGCCGGCAACCACAUCCUGCUCAUCCCUGGGCUUUGUCCCGACAUUAGGAAACCACAAGGGACAUUCGGGCAAACCACAGAAUGCCGGCAGAAAGCCGCAGAGAAACCAUCAGAGGGCGUGUGAGCGGAGCACCUGAGGGGUCCUAGAGAACAGUCAGCAGCAGAACGUGGCAUUCUGUGUCCGUGUUCCUCAUCCCUAGGAACGUGCCUGGGGUCCUUCUGUGAUUUUUAGAUGCAAAAGUCCCAGCGUGCAUCAUACACCUGCUUAUAGGACACGAAUGAAGCCUGGGUUUCUCCUCAGCACGUGGAUGGGGGUGUUUCUCAUCUGAGCUGCUGUCACUGAGAGCAGAGGCUCCCUGUGCUAGAUUAUAACUUGUCUACCACAGGAACCAAGUGGGGUCACUGGCAGACAUGGCCAA